UACGUAGGGUGCGAGCGUUGUCCGGAAUUACUGGGCGUAAAGAGCUCGUAGGUGGUUUGUCGCGUUGUUCGUGAAAACUCACAGCUCAACUGUGGGCGUGCGGGCGAUACGGGCAGACUGGAGUACUGCAGGGGAGACUGGAAUUCCUGGUGUAGCGGUGGAAUGCGCAGAUAUCAGGAGGAACACCGGUGGCGAAGGCGGCGCUCUGGGCCGGUACUGACGCUGAGGAGCGAAAGCGUGGGGAGCAAACAGG
RNAcentral lists this ribosomal RNA (253 nucleotides) under uncultured bacterium. RNAcentral describes it as "partial 16S ribosomal RNA". It matches the Rfam family "Bacterial small subunit ribosomal RNA", at positions 524 to 776 of the family's 1533-position model. The record is from RNAcentral.